Molecule: ribosomal RNA, 253 nt
Filed under: uncultured bacterium
Lineage: Bacteria
Description: partial 16S ribosomal RNA
Rfam family: Bacterial small subunit ribosomal RNA
Source: RNAcentral
UACAGAGGGGGCAAGCGUUGUUCGGAAUUACUGGGCGUAAAGGGCGCGUAGGCGGCCCGCUAAGUCGAACGUGAAAUCCCCAGGCUCGACCUGGGAACUGCGUCCGAUACUGGCAGGCUUGAAUCCGGGAGAGGGAUGUGGAAUUCCAGGUGUAGCGGUGAAAUGCGUAGAUAUCUGGAGGAACACCGGUGGCGAAGGCGGCAUCCUGGACCGGUAUUGACGCUGAGGCGCGAAAGCUAGGGGAGCAAACGGG